Molecule: ribosomal RNA, 553 nt
Filed under: Acanthopagrus australis (surf bream)
Lineage: Eukaryota; Metazoa; Chordata; Actinopteri; Spariformes; Sparidae
Description: partial 16S ribosomal RNA
Rfam family: Bacterial large subunit ribosomal RNA
Source: RNAcentral
CGCCUCUUGCAAAAUGAAUGAAUAAGAGGUCCCGCCUGCCCUGUGACUAUAUGUUUAACGGCCGCGGUAUUUUGACCGUGCGAAGGUAGCGCAAUCACUUGUCUUUUAAAUGAAGACCUGUAUGAAUGGCACCACGAGGGCUUAACUGUCUCCCUCUCCCAGUCAAUGAAAUUGAUUUCCCCGUGCAGAAGCGGGGAUAAAAACAUAAGACGAGAAGACCCUAUGGAGCUUAAGACGCCAGAACAGCUCAUGUUAAACACUCCAAAACAAAGGAAAUAAACUAAAUGAAGCCCUGCUCUAGUGUUUUUGGUUGGGGCGACCACGGGGAAAAACUUAACCCCCAUGCGGAAUAGGAAUACUAUUUUCCCAAACUCAAGAGCUUCCGCUCUAAUGAACAGAACUUUCUGACCAAAAGGAUCCGGCAAUGCCGAUCAACGGACAGAGUUACCCUAGGGAUAACAGCGCAAUCCUCUUAAAGAGUCCCUAUCGACAAGGGGGUUUACGACCUCGAUGUUGGAUCAGGACAUCCUAAUGGUGCAGCCGCUAUUAAGGG